CGAAUUUCCUUCACUCAACAAACAAACAAUCCUUGUAUCAACGUCUUAGACCAACACUUGACCUCUCUUCGAUUUCAAGUGUCUGACAUACUCAUUCUUCUAACUUGUAUUUGCUAUCAAAUUUCCUUCUUCAUAAACUUUUGAAACUUCUUGAUUUGCAUGUUAACCGGUUACCUCAAAAGUGUUAACCGGAAGGAAAAAUUCCAAUUUCC
Molecule: long non-coding RNA, 212 nt
Filed under: Lathyrus oleraceus (garden pea)
Lineage: Eukaryota; Viridiplantae; Streptophyta; Magnoliopsida; Fabales; Fabaceae
Description: Pisum sativum (pea) long non-coding RNA (PSAT_LNC040267)
Source: RNAcentral